CUCGCCGGAAAAGAAAAGCUAACAAUGCUGCGUUUCUACGUGCAAGACUUCGUCGGUGGGGACUCACCAACUGUUUGGGAAAUUGCCAAAACGAACCUCACCGACGUUCUUCCCUCAGCAUUUGGUCUGGUCAGUGUUCUGGACAACCUGGUGACAUCCGAACCGGAGGUCGAUUCGAAAGAAGUGGGUCGGAUCCAGGGGAUUAUCGGGUUGACGGAUUUCCACGAGAAGGCUUUGGUUAUGCUUCUGAAUCUUGUUUUUACGGAUGGUGAGUACAAAGGGAGCACGCUUAGCGUUUUGGGGAGGAAUCCUUUGGGCGAAGAGACGAGGGAGGUUCCGAUCGUCGGCGGCACCGGUGCUUUCAGAAUGGCGCGUGGUUAUGCGGUUACUAGUACUUAUAGUAACGACGAAGCACAUAGUCAUGGUGUUAUUCAGUAUGAUGUUGUUGUUUAUCAUUUUGACGGUUUAACGUUGUUGUCUCGUGAUUGAACUAUGGGUUUUCGUUUUUGUUUUGUUUUUUUUUUUUUUUAAUGGAAAAAUAAAUGAAAUGAGGUUGGCUUGAGUGAAAUUGAACAAUGCGGAGUUAGACUACGGUUCGGGUCAAAUCCUGAUGACGUCCCGGUUUAUCGGGCUCAUCGCCAGGGUUUGACUCGGAACGUUGAUCUAGACCUUGUAUACAAGGGUCGAUUGAAGGUCAAUGUUUUCAAGUUGUGAACCACCGCAAAAAUCUACGAUCAUGAUUGUUUUCCCGUUGCAAAUCAAAAUUCGAGAUUAUAAAAAGUAUGGUACAUUACAACCAUCCCUGAGGUAUGGUUAAAUUACAAAAACUUCUCUCUUGCUUGGGUAAUUACAACCAUAUUCAACAUAAAAUUUCUUACACGUUCACCCUUGCGAUUUCAAAAUUAGUAGAAUUUUCGAGAUUAUAUGGAAUAUUAUCACUUUUGUACACUUUUUAUCCCAUUUAGACUCCACAUUUGGAAGCAGGAUGAUCAUAAUAUAUGUUUUUUGGCUUGUAUAUAUCAGAUUGUGGUGUAUCGCAAACUGUAUUUUUACACAAAACGAGUACAAACUAGAGUACAUUCCACGGAAUCUAGAUUAUUAUGUUGAAUUUGACACCCUAAGAUUGGAAGUGUAAGAAAAAAAUAUAGUUAAAGGGUAAAUGUAAUUAUCUAAACAAGAGGAGUUUUUUCAUAAAUUGACCAUACCUUAGGGAUGGUUGUAAUUUACCCUAAAAAGUAAAAUGAAUCGACAAUCAAAGUUUGAUGACCCAAUUGACUUGUCUAACCACCUAACCAUUUUGAAAAACCGUCCAACCGGCCGAGUUUUCGGCCACCUCAAAUUUUGGGAAAACAAUCGUGAUUAUGUAUUUGAUAUACAUUUGGUUGUCAAGUAUGUAACUUACAAAUGAACCGUAUAUAUGCAUGUGUAAUAUAUGUUACUAGUCUAUUACACCAUAUAUUAAACCAGAACGACGUCGUUUUACUUAGACAUGAAGGGACACGUUUCACGAAUUUAAUAAAAUGAUAUGAACUCACUUUGGAUUCAAACUCGUUGAUCUUCUUCAUACAAAAACUCGUUGCAUUAAUGGAUGUAGUAGUCCGAUUUAUAUGAAACGAGCUUUAACAGGCUGAAAGAGUUUCUUCAUACAAGUGGUGAAGUUAAAAUAUUCUCCAAUGCCCAUUUCACUAAAAAAAUCUUCUCCGAUGUAUAUUUUAAGAUUUCUAUGUGCGCAGCCGAUCGCCAUUAAACUGUGUUUCGAUGCGACAAGGCAUAGUCGGCAGCCGCACACCAACUGUUUGGAAAAUUGCCCAAACCAACCUCACAGAUAUUUCGUUCUCACCUGUCAGCCUUUCGAACGACAUCGUUUAACAUCCGGAUCAGUUCACCGGAUUAUAUAUUGGGAUGUCGGAUUUACACGUUAGUGAUGAUUAAUGUGAAUCUUGUUGGAAAAAUUGAGGUGUUCACCUCAAAUUUGGAAAAUAUUGAAGUGAAAUUCCGUGAUUGUUUCAAGGAAUAAAUAAUGGAAACAUAAUCUACGAUUCGAGUAGAUAGUUGUAGUGUGUUUAAAUGCUCAAAUCCAUUAUAGGAUAAAUGAGAAAUAAAUGCACAAAGUAAGUACUUCAAUGAGCUAAAGUGAGCUCAAAGGGCUUGGUGGGAGAUGAAAAGUCACCUAUCCCACAUUAGGAAAAGAGAAUCAAUGAGAACACUUUAAAUAGUGUCAAUGAAUAGCUAGAGGUAUAAUCGAGGGCUUAAGUACAAAGCCACACGCGCACUACAAAGCCACAUGCGCACCGCCGCCCGCCCGGAGAAAAAUCUGUUCAAAAAUCUCUAUCGAAGAAAAAAAAACACUAUAAAAAUAACAAAUCUUGUUUUCACGGCAGCACGUAAGACUAAGUGCUCUAAGUCCUCAAUUACAUGGCAAAAUAAUUUGAACCGAAUCAUCGAAAUGUUGAUAACUACGAGCUACCGACGUACAUGCAUCAUUGGAUCUAGUAUAUACACAUUUGAAUAUUAAAAAAUAUAAUAAAUUGCAGUAAUAAGUUCCAGGACUAAUUAAUGAUCAGGCCCGCAUGUACAAUGUACUAAUAUCUUAAGAUGCCGUCUACGUAAGGUAAUCCGAUCGCCACAUCGUCAAUCCAGACUUUUGCGGUUGUAUAUGUAAUAUAUAUGUAUUCCUUCUUUUCACACUAUUACUUACAAUUAUUCAUGAGUUACAUAGAAAAAACAAGAGAGAAGAAAACUGGUUGACUAAUUUACAGCAAUGGAGAAGAAGCUCAAAUUCAUGUUCUUGAUUCUUGCUUCGUUAUUGUUACAGACAAUCAAGUCCAAUGCAGAAACCCAAUCCUCCGACCAUCAGAGCCCUUGCCUCGCCGGAAAGGAAAAAAUAACAACAAUGCGUUUCUACGUGCAAGACUUCGUGGGCGGGGACUCGCCAACUGUUUGGAGAGUUGCCCAAACGAACCUCACGGAAGUUCUGCCGUCGGAUUUCGGUGCCGUCGACGUUUUGGACAACCUGGUAACAUCCGAACCGGAGGUCGAUUCGAAAGAAGUUGGUCGGAUCCAGGGGAUUAUCGGUCUGACGGAUUUCCACGAGAAGGCUUUGGUUAUGCUUCUGAAUCUUGUUUUUACGGAGGGUGAGUAUAAAGGGAGCACGCUUAGUGUUUUGGGAAGGAAUCCUUUGCACGAAAAGAUUAGAGAGGUUCCGAUCGUCGGCGGCACUGGUGCUUUCAGAAUGGCGCGUGGGUACGCUAUUACUACUACUUAUAGUACCGACGAAACGAAGAGGCAUCCUAAUGUUUAUCAGUAUGAUGUUGUUGUUUAUCAUUUUGAUGGUUUCACGUUGUUGGCUCGUCAGUGAAGUAAGGGUUUUCGAUUUAAUAUAUUAUUAUUGAAAAAUAAUGUACCUCAGACACUAUCAGUUGUCUUAAAAACUAAUUGAUAGUGCAAAAGGUUCUAUAUGAUCUAAGUUCCAAGGUAAUGGGUUCGAUUCGCAACCUGCAAAAUCAGGUAAAUUCAUAUAUAUGUUUACUCAGUUUAGUUUUAGUCAAGACUGCUGGUAGAACCUCAUGCGCUACCCGUUAUCCUAAAAUAAUAAAAUUUUCAUAAAAUUUUAAGAAUAUAAUUAGUGCAAAGAAUGAAUAUUAUCGCUAACUCGGGAGAUUUAGGUAACAUGGGCUUGAACUUUUAAUUAAUUAUGCUUAAUUAGCUCAAAUACAUUAAAUAGGUUGGCUUUGAGUGAAAUUGAACUUGGUGGAGUUUUCCACCUCAAAUUUUGGGAAAACAAUCGUAAUUUAUGCAUUUGAUGAUAUACAUUUGGUUGUCAAGUAUGUAACUUACAAAUGAAUUUUAUAAAAAAAUACGAAUUCACUUUGGAUUCAAACUCGUGGAUCUUCUUCAUACAAAAACUCCUUGAAUUAAUGGAUGUAGUAGUCCGAUUUAUAUAAAACGAGCUUUUACGGGUUAAACGAGUUUCUUCAUACAAGUGGUGAGGUGGAAAUCUUCUCCAAUGCCCAUUUUAAAAAAAAAAGGAAAAAAAUCUUCUCCAAUGUACAUUUUAAGAUUUCUAUGUACGCAGCCGAUCGCCACAUCCCCAAUUAAGAUUUUGCGGUUGUCUUCGCUAUUUCCCGGUUAUUCUAUACAACUAUGUGUUUGUUAAUCACUAAAACUGAGUUUCUACGUGCAAUGAAUACUCAGCGGCCGCACACCAACUGUUCGGAAAAUUGCCCAAACCAACCUCACAUAUAUUUCGCCCUCAGCUGUUCGCGUUUCAAACCUCGCCAAUGCAACUUGCAACUUUAAUAUGUUUACCACUCCUUUAAUAUUUUCACCAAUUUUAUGUCUAAUAUUUCCUAAAUUUGCCCAAAAAUGGUAAAAUAAUCCCUUUAAAUUUAAAAAUUUUAAAGAUUUUUUAUUAUUUAAUGUGUAUAGUAUUCAAAAAAAAAAAAAAAAAAGCCCCCGAACCCCCCUAAACUAUUAGCCAACCAUUAUAUUAUUUACUAUAUUUAAUUUCGAACACCCUUGGCAAAAAUCCUGGAUUCGCCACUGCCUACCGUUGCAGACCAGUCGCUUUCUUCCGAGAGGUGCUUCAUCGACCUGCUUUGUUUUAUAUUCAAUUUUAUUUUAUUCUCAAUUUUCCUUUUCUUCUUCGUCCUCCUUGGUCUCUGUCUCCGCCGCCCACAAUUCUUAAUUGCGCCUCCUUCUACCUAAAUCCGCCACCUCCUUCUUCUCUCCGCAUACAAUUUUUUGCACCGUUCUCUGAAAUUCCGAUUUUCUGUUAAAAGAAUAAUUUUUUUGGGUAUUCUGAGUUUGUUGUUUCCGGCAAAAAUAUAGGCAUGGGGGUUUCUAAGUGAGCUACGCUUCGUUCCAUAUUUCGGACAUCGAUCGACCGAGGUUGGCUAAAAUUUCUCCCUUUUUUCUUUUUGUUUUCUUAAAAUCAUAUUUCAGCCCUUUUCCCCCUCCUGUCAGCACUAAAAGAUUUCGUUUUUGUUGGAUUGAAAUUUGCAGGCAAUUCUGGGGAUUUUUUCUGCUUAGAUUUUAGUAUUUUUUCUCUCACGCAUGUUGGUUAUUUUGAUUGGAGAGGAACUUUUGAAGACAUCUUUUAUUCAUUUCGUGGUACUUGCUAUGACAAUAUGAAACAGAUUUUAUCAGAAUUUUUUUAAAAAUAUUAAUUCAAUUAAUUUUGGUUAAUUUAACGCUUGAUAAUUAUGCUUAUGUAGAAUAGUAAGUUUGCUGCUUCAAUUGUUUUUUUUUUGGUUGACUUCUUUGCUAUUUUGAUUUAAAUUAUGGACUAAUUUACAAUUAAUUAAUCUUUGGAUGGUUCUAAUAUUUAAUUUCUAUUGUCCAAUGAAACAGAGAGACAUCGUAUAGUGAAGAACAGGGACUAAUUUAAAAUUACUCUUUGGCUAUAAGCCGCAUGCUGAAGAAUAGGUAGAGGUUAUUCUAUAGGUAUGAAGAUGUAUUUCCUCAUUUUUCAUUUAACCAAUUUCGUCAAUGUUUUGUUAUUUAUUUAUUUUGUUAUGUAAUAUCUUCUCGCAUCUCCCUCACCUAUGUUGUUUGAUGUGAGCCCGCCACCUCCUCUUUUUUUGAACCCAAUGAUUCUUCGACAGAGUUAAUUUUCGAGAUUCAACAUGGAGAUUCACAUCUCAGGGAGCUUUAAGAUAAAGUUGAAGAAGAGAUAUAUUGUUGCUCACAAGUAGGGGUGCAAGUUGGAACGGAUUUUCCAAUUUCCGCCGGUUCCGAUCCGAAAAUUUCCAAUUUUGGAACAACUUUUUUCAAUCCGACUUCCGAAAUUCCGAUUUCCGAAAUUUUCCGAUUUUUUUGGAUUGGAAUUGGAACUAUAUAAAAUAAAUUUGGAAUUUCCGAUUUCCGAUCCGAUUUAAUUCCGAAAUUAAUUCCGGAAAAUUGCGAUUUUUUUCCGAAAAAUACACCUAUAAAUAGUAUAUAUUGUAUAAUACUUAUUUUCCGAAAAAUACAACUAUAAGUUUUGUUUUAGGAUUUUGACAUAAUGAAUUGUUGUUAGAAGUUUUAUUGGAUAUUAUGUUGUGUUUAUUUUUAUUUAUUUUUUUGAACUGAAAUUUAGUCGUUAUUAGUUUUACUUUUAUCGACGUGGAUGCUCUUAUUUUCGAAAAAUUAUGGACAUUUUAGAAAAUUUCGGCUAAGUUUAGAAAUUUUAAAGCUUAUGUGAUUUCCGAUUUUUUUCCGAAAUUCCGAAAUUUCCGGGCCUUUUGGAAUUGGAAUGAAUUUUUAGAUUCCGAAAUUUUUGGAAUUGGAAUUGGAAUUGAUUUUGUACUUCCGAAUUUUUUUGGAAAUUUUCCGAAAAGGCUAAUUCCGAUCCGAUCCAUCCGACUUUCACCCCUACUCACAAGGGUAGAGGUGAAAGUACCUGGUUUUCGAUUUCACCUUUUUCUAUAGGGUAAAUUACAAACACCCCCUAAGGUAUGGUUAAAUUACAAAAACACCCCUCUUGUUUGGAUAAUUACAACGACCCCUCAACUCCUCAAAUUAAUGAAAUGAGUUUGGCUUGAGUGGAAUCGAAGUGCGGAUAGACAUGACUACGGUUCGGGUCAAAUCCAAAUGAUGUCCCGGUUAAUCGGGCUCAUCGUCAGGGUUUGACUCGGAACCUUGAUCUAGACCUUGUAUACAAGGAUCGAAUAAAAUCUACGAACGUGAUUGUUUUUCCGCUGCAGAUCAAAAAUCGAGAUUAUGAAAGUAAAAUGAAUCAACAAUCAAAGACGGACGACACAAUCAUGGCCGGAACUUAGAAGGGGCAGGCGGUGUUGUUGACCGCCCAAGAAAGGAAAACAAAAACGUUAUUUGUGGCAUUGUAUUUUUUGAAUAUUACUUUUGGUUCCCCUAAAGUUUUUGUAAAUAUGUGUCUUUAACCCUUAAUUUUUUGUUUCUUCUCCAUAAUCUUAUAUAUAUAUAUAUAUAUAUAUCUAUAUAUAUAUAUUAAAUAUAAAAUAGAAUGGUUAAAACUUGUAUUAUUUUAAAUAAAAUUUAUGAAUAUUUACUUAUUUUUGAUUUUUUUUUUCAAUGACUCUAACAAAAUAAUAUGGAACGAUGCCAUGAAUCCCCAAAAUUUAAGUGCAAUACAUAUUUAGAAUAAUUAGAAUUAAUUUAAUUUUUUUUGUCAUGCUUAAAAUAUGAUAAAACUAUAAUAUAUAUGCUAUUUUAAUUAAAAACUAGUAAUUCACUCGUGCGUUGCACGGAGGUCAGUUUUAAAGUGAGAAAAAUAAUAAUAUCUAAACGACUAUCUCUUUAUAGCAACACCAAUUCAAGUAAAAACAAAAUGGAAAGAAAUAAAAAAAACAUAAACUUUAUCUUUUAAUUCAAAGUUUUAAAAUAUGAAAUUAAAUUAAAUAUUACAAAGAAGAAAACGCAAAGCGCGCAAAACACGAUAUGAAGAUUAAGUGAAUUAUUUAAAACAUAUGGUAUAACACUAUUUCAUGGAACACAAUCUACUACGCCAUAUGAAUCUUCUAUAAUAUAACUAACUUAACAACAAACACAAUACCAGAGAAAUAACGCAAUAGAUAUUCAAAUAACCUGCAAGUGUAUCACUAACAGCGUUCAAUUAGUGAUGCACAUUACUCAAACAACAAUACAACUUAUAAAUAUUGCAAAAGAGAUAAGAUGUAUACGCCCCAACCAAUACUGAUACCAAUAUCGAUACUAAUGUUGAUAUCAAUACCAAUACCAAUAUUGAUACCAAUACUGAUACUAAUAAUGGUAUUAAUACUGAUACUGAUAUCGAUACUAAUACUGAUACUACUAAUGAUACUGAUAUUGAUACUGAGAUACUGAUAUUGAUAUUGAUACUGAUACUAAUAGUAAUAUUAAUAUUAAUACUAAUACUAAUAGUGAUACUCAUAUUAAUACUGAUACUGAUAGUCAUACUAAUACUGAUACUAAUAUUGAUAUUGAUAGUGAUACGAAUACUGAUAUUAAUAUUAAUAUUAAUACUAAUACUAAUACUAAUACUAAUACUAAUAUUGAUAUUGAUAUUGAUAUUGAUACUGAUACUGAUUACUAAUACUGAUACUAAUACUAAUAAUAAUACUAAUAAUGAUACUGAUACUAAUACUAAUAUUAAUUCUAAUACUAAUAGUGAAACUAAUACUGAUACUCAUACUCAUAUCCUAGUACUGAUAUUGAUACUGAUACCGAUAUUGAUACUAAUGUUGAUACUGAUAUUGAUACUGCUACUCAUAGUAAUAUUAAUAUUAAUACUAAUACUAAUAAUAGUACUCAUACUGAUACUCAUAUUGAUACUAAUACUAAUAUUGAUACUCAUAUUUAUACUUAUACUGAUACUCAUACUAAUACUAAUACUUAUACUAAUACUAAUAAUAAUAAUACUAAUACUAAUACUAAUACUAAUACUAAUACUAAUACUAAUACUAAUACUAAUACUAAUACUAAUACUAAUACUAAUACUAACACUAAUACUAAUACUAAUACUAAUAGUAAUAGUAAUAUUAAUACUAUUACUAAUACUAAUGUGUUAAUAUUGUUAAUGUUAAUGCUAAGACUAAAUUUAGUGCUAAUGCUACUUUGGAUAUGCUAAUCAUUACGCUAAUGUUAAUUAUAAUUAUCAUCCUAAUAUUAUUGAAAUCCUUAUCCUAUUCAUAAUACUAAUCAUAAUUCUAAUCCUAAUUAUAAUUCUAAUCAUAUUCCUAACACUAAUCAUAAUUCUAAUCAUGACCUUAAUAAUUUUAAUACUAAUAAUGCUAAUGUUAAUGCUAAUGCUACUGUUAAUUUUAAUUCUAAUUCUAAUUAUAAUCUUAAUUCUAAUUAUAAUCCUCAUAAUGCUGAUCAUAAUCCUAAUACUAAUACAUGUCACUAAUUGUAGUAAUAAUCAUAAUCAUGAUCUUAAUUAUAAAUCUAAUACUAAUAUUAAUCAUAACCAUAAUCAUAAUCCUAAUAUUAAUUCUAAUACUAUAUUAAUCCUAAUUAUAAUCUGAAUGCUAAUCCGUGUAUUAAUACUAAUACUAAUUCAAAGAAUAUUAAUUAUAAUCCUAAUUCUAGUGCUAGUACUAACUAAUUCUGAUUUUGCAUAAAUGUUCUUUGAAAUGAUCUAUUAUUUUGUAUAAAAAAAAAAUUCUAUUCAAUCUCGCAAGCUUUAUAUCAAAUUCCUUAUGUGUAGAAGCAUCCAUAAGCAUAUAUUAAAUAUAUUAGAAAUUAAUAAUUAAUUAUAUUAUCAAACCGACAUUAAUUUUAUUUAAAAUAUUAUAAGGGUAUAAGAAAACUGUUAAGACGUAAAAAGAACAAUAAUCGUUGUUAAUAGGAUAAAUUAAAAAAAUCCUUCUGAACUUACGGUAAAUUACGGAAAACACCCCCACUUAUCAGUAAUUACUAAAAUCCCCCUGAUGUUUGUUUCUUUUUUACACGACUCCCUUAUGGUGUGAUUUUUUAUGGAAUAUUUUUUUAUUCCAUGUUAUAUCCCAAAAAAAUGUGGAUUCUACCCUUGGAGACGUGACAUUUCUUCUAUCAUACUUUUUAAAUAUAAAAAUUACCAUGAGAGGAGGUAAUGGUAAUACUAAAAAAGUUGUGAAAGUGUUAUUUAAGAAGAAUAAAGAUUAUGUGUAAAGUCCUCCCGAGGGCAAUGCUUGUCUUUAAAAAGCACCAUAAAAAAGUACCGCGUGUGCAGGGUAAUAUCUGCAUUUUUUGGGGAAUAUUCCACGUAAUAAAAGAAAUUCCGUGAAAAAUCUUACCGCAAGGGGGUCGAUGUCAGACGCAAACAAACAUUAGGGGAAUUUUGGUAAUUACGAAUAUGUGGGGGUGUUUUUCUUAAAUUAGCCUAAAUUCGGGGGGUUUUCGUAAUUUAUCCCUAAUAAUAUACAACUUAAAUUUAUUUACACGUAUGACCAUAUGUUAGAAAAUAACAUAAAGGCCGGUGCUAAUGAAAUAGAUCAAAUUUCAAGUAAACAAAAGUCACUAUAAAAUACUUAUAUAAAUCAUAAAUGGAAAAAUAAAAAAAUUAAUUGAUUUUUUUUUGUAAAUCAGUCGAAUAUAUUGUGAUUUCAAAAAAAAAAUAGAGAUAUAUAAUCGAUAUUAGAUUCUUAUAAAUAUUAUAAAAUAAAUAAUUUUAUUUUACAAAUAUUUUUAAAUUGUAAAUUAACAAAAUGGAUAUAUCGUAUUAUAUAUGAUGGGGAAAUAGAAAACUUAAGAAAAUGUCACUAAUUUAGAUACGUAACUUGUAAGUUAGAGAAAAGAACUCGUGUAUUCCAAUGUAAAAAUAUAGUGAGAUAUAUAUGGUGUAAAAAUAUUUAAUAAUCAAUUAUUUACGCUAUAAUACCCUACAUUAAUAUUUUUAUUUUCCUAUGAUUUAAAAUUUUAAUUUAAAAAAUUAGUCAGAAUAUUUGUAGAUAAACAUUUUCUUUUCCAUGAUAGGAUGUCUAUAUCUUAACACGCACUAUAAUGGAUUGUAGUAAAUCUCGUAUAAGUUCAAUAUGGUACCAAUGUCGUACCAAAUGAAAUGAUAACCACUAAUUUGAUAUUUAUUGGUAUACUAUGAUACUUAAAAUUUGAUAACUUUUUCCAUCCAUAGCAACAAUAUUGCAUCAAACUUUCUCAAUUUGGAAAGACACACACAUAAUUAUGCAAUUACUUAUAUAAUUGUAGUCGUUUAUAUAAUAUAUAAAUAUCUUAUUGAGUUUGUAACUAAAAAUGGAUCGUAGAAACUACUGAUUUGCCGAUUGAUAUUGUAUUUGUUAAUGUAAACUAUUUAAAGUAACAACACCUCGAGUGAGGUUAUUAAAUGAGCUAUCAAAACCUUUAACCACGAUUUUCAUACUAAAAAAUAGUAAUUUUAAUUCCAAUAGAGUUAUGAAAUAAGGGUUGUGUUUUGAUAUUUAAUCUGUCGUAAUGUAAAAAUACUUCAUGCAGAAUAAAAUAUCAAACAUGAAUUAUGAAUUUAACCACCUCAGUGUCCAUUUAGAAAAGUUAGAAAAUGAUAUAUGACAAUUAAAUAUAUAAAUCAAUUUAAUAAUUUUUAAUUAACAACCAUUUAAUAUCUAUGCUUGGAGCAUAUUAAAUAUCACAUAAAUAUUUGCAAAACCAUUUUGAUACUUUUGAGUUGGAGUUGCUAUAAAUAUGUACGUAAUUAUAUUUAUCAAAGUUAUAGAGAAAUACUUAUAAGUGAAUACGAUAUAUAGUAUAUAGGAUUAUUAUUUUAAACAAAACAAUUGAUAUUCUUAAUUUUUGGUAUUAAUAAAGUGAAUAUACGAAUUUAAUACUAAACAUUUAGAAUAUCAUUGUUAUAUUUUGAAAUAUAUAAAAUCAAUAUUUUGUUAAAAUUGAUUAAACUUAACUUAUCUUCUUCAAUUUAUUAGUAUAAUCAUGAGAAAGUUUGUAUUUUAAUUAGUAUAUAAUUAAAAAAAAUUAAAUCAAUUAUAAAAUUUAUCGUCACUGGAUUCGGUGAAGAAAAGAGAAAAGUUAAAAACAAUAACAUGAAAUUCAUGUAGUAUAAUUUCAUUAUGGUAAAUAAUUGGGAUAAUAUUACUGCACACAUGGUAGAAAAAAAAUAGUGUCAAUUUCCGCAAUAUAGUAAUUUUGAACAUGUAUCUUUCUUUUAUACAGAUAAUGAUAAUAUAUAAUAUUAAAUUAGUACAAAAAAACAUAUUCUUUUUUUAUGUCCAUGUAAAAUGUAUAAUAUAUUAAUAUCAACUAAUUUAUUAUGCAUUUUUUUUAUAUAAAUACAAAUUUAUUAAUUAAAAUACAAAAUUUACGUAACAUCACCAAUCAUGCAACUAUAAUAAGGGAAGACUCUAAAUUGAAUUUAACUAAAUUUAAAUUAAAUUAAUUACUAUUAAAACUAAAUUCAAAAAUAAAUAUAUUUAUAGUUUCCAAGAAAGUUGAUAUAUUUAGAGAUUUUAUAAAUGGUAGGAUUAGGGGUGGAGAUCGGACGGAUCGGAUCGGAAUCCACCCCUUCGGAAAAUUUCCGAUUUUUUUCGGAAGUGAAAAAUCACUUCCGAUUCCGAUUCCGAAUAUUUCGGAAUACAAAAGCCCGUUCCGAUUCCAAUUCCGAAAAAAAAAAUCGGAAUUUCGGAAUUUUCGGAAACGUCGUUGACUAUGCCCGGCAACUGAAGCACGGAAGAAAAGCAACGGCCACGGCGGAGAUUUAUAGGGAAUAACGAUAGCUUUUGGGCAGCAACUCCGGCGAUCUUGAGAGAAAAAGGAUUGUGGUAUUUUGCAGCAAUUCCAGCCUCUGUUUCGCGAUCGUGAAGGCAACGAUUAAAGAUAUGGUAAGUUUUAUGACUCAUAUGGUAGAGAAGAAGAGUUGGCGGUGGAAAGAAAAAAAAAAGUUAAGAGCAGGGAGAUGUGAAGCGGCGCAAGAAAAAGAAGAAAAAAAAAAAUUCAGAGCAGGGAGAUGAGCAGCGCAAGAAGAAGAAGAAAGAAAUUAGGGUUUUAUAAUUUUUUGGUAUUUAAUGUUUAGUCCCUAAAAUUCUGAAUAUUCAAUAUUUGGGCUCAUAAGUUUGCUAAAGUGGGCUGCCUUACUAGAGUGGGCUUUUUAAAAGCCUAACUAGAAACAAUAUAGUAAAUUAGUAAUGAAGAAAUAUUAAUAAAUUUCGGAAAAAUUCGGAACAUUUCGGAAAAAUUAUCGGAAAUUUCGGAAUUAUUUUCGGAUCAGAAUUCGGAAAUUCCGAAUAAUUCAUAUACAAUUCCGAUUCCGAUCCGAUUUUUUCGGAAAAAAUCAGAAAUCGGAAUUUCGGAAUUCGGACUACAAAAAAUCGUUUCAAAAUCGGAAAAAAUCGGAUCGGAUUCGGCGGAAAUCGGAAAUUUCGUUCCGAUUUCCACCCCUAGGUAGGAUAUAAAUAUAUUAAUAAAAUAAUAAAAUAUAUUUAAUUACCUUUAAUUUUAGAAAUGAUGACAUGUUUUUGAUGAUUUAUUUUCACCAAUCAAUUUGCCACAUGGAAUGAAAUUGAAUACAUGUCAUCAAUUGAAAUUGUCAAAUGUCAAGGAAUUAAGGGUGGAAUUCAACUUAUAUAUAUUAUAUAGAUGAUUAUAUUUUAUGAAAUGAAAUAAUAAAACAAUAAAAAUAUGUAUAUGUCGUAUUUUAAACAAAUAUAAUUUAUUGAAUGCAUUUCGCGAUAUUCUGUAAUUACGAAAAUUUGAAAAAAAUAUUUAAUCAUUAAAAUUAGUCGAUUAUUACAAUGAAAAAAAAUUCCUAAAAUUUAUUUGAAUAUUCAUAAAAAAUGGACGUUCAAAUGAAUAUAUUUGAAUAUUCUUAAUGUUAAUGUAGUAAUUUAUUCAAAAAAAAUUAAGAUUGAAAUAUAAAAUAGAAAAUUAUAAUGAAUGUAAAAUAUGUAAACUAUAAGAAAAUAAAAUAAAACUCCAAAAUUGCACCAAUGAAACAAAAGUACAGAAAAUGUUUGUCUUUAUUAUUUACAAAAAAAAAAAAAAAAAAAAAACAUUCAAAAGAUGAUACAUGUCAAUUGUGGUGAAACAUGUACAUACAACAAUAUUGUCCAAUCCUGUUUUCAAAAUCAAAGAAAAAUAAUAAAAUCUUUGAUUUCCACGUUUCCACAUGCAAUACAUGAUUCAGUGUCAAUUUCUUUCAUUUCUGUUUGACAAAACAAUAAUCGAUUUUUGGAUAAUGAUAAAUAUAUAAGGCAAUUAAAUUAAAAAACUAAAUACAAACUUUUAAAUAAAUAAAUGAAAUUACAAAAAUUAUAUGCAAACCGUAACAAUGUAGCACAUAGGACAUAAGUUGGAUUCGUAAACAACAUCUGCAAGAAAUACAUAAAGAAAAAGUAUUAGCAUAGUUCUUCAGUUAAAUAAAAAUAUUAAAUAGGUUUAAACCAUCUAAAUUAAAUUAUAAUACGAUAAAUGCAUGAAAUCAAUUGAAAAAAAAUUCAAAAAAAUUUCCAAAAAAAAAAAUACCAAAAAGAGAAAACGAAAAACGAAAAACGAAAAACAAAAACAACUCGAAUGGCAUGGGUAAAGAAGAAUAGUGUAGGGUAAAAUAAAUAGAUGGGAGUUUAUAUAGUUUUGAUAAGUAUAUAGUAAUUAGGAAAUUUUUUGAAUUCAAAUUUCAAAUGACAUGAUUAUAGGUAAUCUAGGUGGAAAUAGAAAAAAAAAAAAAAAAGUAACAAAUCAAAAAAAUCAACUCAGAUGAUUUGAUUUGUAUUGAUUAGGAAUUGAUUUUAAAAUAUUAAACAAUAUUUAUGGUUAUUGAAUAUUUUCUUUAAACUAACUAUAUAAAUUUAUAAUUAUGUUAAAUAGGUAAGAAAUCAAAUUUCAUAUCAUAAAAUAUAUAUUCUAAUUUUAGAAAAUUUUAAAAUAAAUAAAACAUAGACAGUUUUUUUUUUUUUUUUUUUUUUUGAUUUAAUAAUAGAAUUAUAAAUUUCAUAAUAUAUUAUUAAUAUGUUAAUUUGAAAUCGAAUUUAAAUGCAUUAUUAAUAUAUUUUUUUAAUAUUUUUUUUUAUUGAAUGGAUAUUCGAAUAUUCCAGAAUAUUGAAAAUAAAAAAAAUGUAUUCAUUUAUUUUAAUAUUUGAAUAUUAAAAAAAAUCUGAAAAUUAUUUGAAUAUUCGUAAAAAAAUUGAGUGUACUGAUUUUUUUUAAAAAGACUACCAGUAAAUAUAUUUUGAAAUACUAGAAAUGUAAAUAAGAAUUUUUUAUUUUGAAUUUAUAAAAUAUUAAUUUUGGAAAUAAUAUAUAUACACGUGGUAAUUGUUUAAAUGAGUGUAUAAAUGUUGAAUAGGAAAUAACUUAAAUACAUACCAAAAUAAAAUUGACAACUCACCAAUUGAAGAAUCCACCUCAUCAAUUGAACUCCAACUAAGCAAUUGUGAUAAAUGACAUCAUUAUUUGCUACAUGUCAAUCAUUAAGGGCAUAGAUCCUCUUUUUAUAUUAUAUAUAGAUUGAAAAUUAAAAUAAAAAAAAAAAAAAAUUGUAUUCCUUUCUUUAAUAUUUUAAUAUUAAAAAAAAUAUUUUUUUCUGAGAAUUAUUUGAAUAUUCGUAAAAAUAUUGAGUAUCAUGAAUUUUUUCAAUAAACGUGUUUUGAAAUACUGAAAAUAUAAAUAAGAUUUUUUUUUUCUUUUCGAAUUUAUGAAAUAUUAACUUUGAAAAUAAUAUAUAUACAUGUGGUAAUUGUUUAAAUGAGUGUAUAAAUGUUAAAUAGGAAAUAACUUAAAUACAUACCAAAAUAAAAUUGACAACUCACCAAUUGAAGAAUCCACCUCAUCAAUUGAACUCCAACUAAGCAAUUUUGAUAAAUGACAUCAUCAUUUGCCAUAUGUCAAUCAUUGAGGGCAUAGAUUCUCUUUUUAUAUUAUAUAUAGAUAUAAAUUAUCAAAAUGAACUUAUUUUUGCAAUAUCUUGUGAACCUAAAAAAAAAAUCAGGGCGCUGCCCCAAACCCUCAAAUUUUAGUUGGUCCCCUACAUUUUGAUUAUGGUUCCAUCACACAAUCGACGUGUCUAACCACCCAACCAUGUUGAAAACCGGUCCAACCGCCCGAGUUUUCCACCUCAAAUUUUGGGAAAACAAUUGGAUGGGCCUAUAAAAGACAAUAGUCGGAUUCCAUUAACAAACUGACACGUGGACAUAUCUCAAAUUUCUCUUACCAAUAUUAUAUAACAAGUGGGUUUGCCCAUUUAAUACAAAACACAAAAACUAAUAAAAAAUAAAAAAAAUUCUCCAAAAUCAUUCAGCCAACAACAAUUUGGGAAAAAAAAUAUAAUUGUUCAAAUUAAAAAAAUAUUACUACAAAAACCAGAAACCUGAAAACCUGAAAACCCGAAACCCGAAAACCGAAACCCGAAAUCCAAAAACCCAAAACCCGAAAAUCGAAACCCUAAAACCCGAAACCCCGAAAAACCCGAAACCCCGAAAAAUCCAAAACCCCAAAAAACCCAAAACCCAAAACCCAAAACCCCGAAAAACCCGAAACCCCAAAAAACCCGAAACCCCAAAACCGGAAACCCCAAAAAACCCAAAACCCGAAAACCCGUCCGUUGAACAUAAGGUUUUAUAUUAUUAUUAUUAUUAUUAUUAUUAUUAUUAUUAUUAUUAUUAUUAUUAUUAUUAUUAUUAUUAUUAUUAUUAUUAUUAUUAUUAUUAUUAUUAUUAUUAUUAUUAUUAUUAUUAUUAUUAUUAUUAUUAUUAUUAUUUCGUUAGUUGUUAACCAUUUUUUUAAAUGUCAGUGUCUACCCUAAAUUUACAACUAUGGUAAUUUAAUUUAGUUUAAUUAGAUUUAGAGUUUGUUAAUUAAAUCAUCCACGUGGCAUAAUAUGAAUGGAAUCCGAUUAUUGUACAUAAUCAACUCAUCCGGUGAGAAUUUAAACUCAUUUAUGUAUUUGAUGUACAAUAAAAGUAGUUAUUACUUUGGUUGUCAAAUAUUAGUAACUAAAAAAUUAAUUGUGUGUAUGUGUAAUAUGUAUUACUAGUCUAUUACACCAUAUAUUAAACCAAAACGAUCGUCGUUUUACUUUGACUUUGACAUGAAGGGAAAGGUUUAAGGAAUUUUUAUAAAAAAAAAAUACGAACUCACUUUGGAUCAAACUCAUGUGAAAUCUUCUUCAUAAAAAAAAAAAAAAAAAAAAAAAAAAUUGUAUUAACGGAUGUAGUAUUCCAAUUUAUAUGAAACGAGUUUUCAACAUCCGGACCGGUUCAGUGGAUUAUUGGGAUGUCGGAUUUGCAUGUUAGUGACGAUAAAUGUGAAUCUUGUUUUCGCGGCAGGUUAAGACUAAGUGCUAAGUCCUCAAUUACAUGGCAAAAUAAUUUCAACCGAGUCAUCGAAAUGUCGAUAACUACGACCUACCGACGUGCGUGAUCAUUUUUUGGAUCUAGUAUAAAUAUAAUGAAUUACAGUAACUUCCAGGACUAAUUAAUGAUCAGGCCCGCAUGUAUAAUGUACUAUAUCUUAAGAUGCCGUCUACGAAAGGUAAUCCGAUCGCCACAUCGUCAAUCCAGACUUUUGCGGUAGUGUAUGUAUUCGUUCUUUUCACACUAUUAUUUACAAUUAUUCAUUCAUGAGUUACAUAGAAAAACAAGAGAGAAGAGAACUGGUUGACUAAUUUACAGCAAUGGAGAAGAAGCUCAAAUUCAUGUUCUUGAUUCUUUCUUCAAUAUCACUACAGACAAUCAUGUCCAAUGCAGACACCCAAUCCUCCGACCACCGGAGCCCCUGCCUCGCCGGAAAAGAAAAGCUAACAACGCUGCGUUUCUACGUGCAAGACUUCGUCGGCGGGGACUCGCCAACUGUUUGGGAAAUUGCCAAAACGAACCUCACCGACGUUCUUCCCUCAGCAUUUGGCCUGGUCAGCGUUUUGGACAACCUGGUGACAUCCGAACCGGAGGUCGAUUCGAAAGAAGUGGGUCGGAUCCAGGGGAUUAUCGGGUUGACGGAUUUCCACGAGAAGGCUUUGGUUAUGC
Molecule: long non-coding RNA, 17378 nt
Filed under: Erythranthe guttata (spotted monkey flower)
Lineage: Eukaryota; Viridiplantae; Streptophyta; Magnoliopsida; Lamiales; Phrymaceae
Description: long non-coding RNA (EGUT_LNC000751)
Source: RNAcentral